GAGCCUCGCACCAUUGCGCGCGCUCUCCUCACUCACACGCGAUCAAAACGAGCACAAAACACAACCAAUACAGUUAACAACAACCUUUUCCAUCCGAAAACUAUGUAAACAUUUAAUAAAGGUGAGCGGGAUCAUAACCGAGCCGCGUCUUCGCGAUCCUCAGCCCGAACAACAAAACCAUGACGCCAUUUUCUGCAAAACAACAGCCUUCGGGGAGGAAACGCGACGCGUUUACGCGUCUUAAACACACACAAGUCGCUUCAUCUUAUGUUUGAGAUCCUAAAAGAAGCUUGUUGUUGUUCUCACCGAUAAAUUCCCGGAAGAUCUUCGACUUUGGCUCUCUUGAGGUGCUCCUGGAUGUUGCGUGACGCGUCCACGCGCAUGAAUGUGACUCUCUCCAGCACACGUGCACUAUUGAGCAAACACUUGAAAUCCAUCAGGGUGCCGUGACCUAGAAGGGAAAGGAAGAAGCCCUGUAGGGAAAGUAAACGCAUAUGCUGAGACUCAACCGUAGCGGGGACAGAGGCAGCGGUGGAUAAAGGCAGGACAGACACAGUGCUGGAGUCCCAUCAGGAACCACGGGACAUCCAGGAGCUUCCAGCGUCACCACAGAUUUGCACUGCAUCAGUGAGGGACCCUUGCCUGCGAGAGAGAUCAGGUAUUUAGCAUACGUGCAUGAAUUUGUCUUAUAUGAAUUUCAUUAUCGUACAGUUUACGUUUUGCUUACAGUUUCCCGGUUUAGUGUUGACACUAUGUGGAUAAAAUGACUAUAAAGAGCGUAAACAAAUCAAAGUUGACCUGCAAACUGUGCAUUGCAGGCAUGCUAAGAAAAAUCAGGCAUGCACAAUAACUUGUAAUUGUUUUUGUACUACUUAUAAGUUGUCAAACCUAAAAGAAAAGGAA
RNAcentral lists this long non-coding RNA (903 nucleotides) under Danio rerio (zebrafish). RNAcentral describes it as "si:ch73-134b5.6 (ENSDARG00000097073.2)". The record is from RNAcentral. Lineage: Eukaryota; Metazoa; Chordata; Actinopteri; Cypriniformes; Danionidae.